This 69-nucleotide transfer RNA is filed under the name Hyperolius marmoratus (marbled rush frog). Its description in RNAcentral is "tRNA-Arg". It matches the Rfam family "tRNA". Rfam says of the family: Transfer RNA (tRNA) molecules are approximately 80 nucleotides in length. The record is from RNAcentral. Lineage: Eukaryota; Metazoa; Chordata; Amphibia; Anura; Hyperoliidae.
UAGAUGCUAGUCUAAAUAAGACAAAUGAUUUCGACUCAGUUAAUUGUGGUUUAAAUCCACAGCAUCUUU